UGUGAGAUGGCCACGCACGUGACCACGUAGAAUGGGCAUCAGCCAAUGAAACGCGGCCCCUCUGGUAAGGUUCAUGAAUCAUGUAAGGAAUUUUCAACAUGAUCGAUCUUGUCUCACACGUCACAUCCUGUAAAGGAGAUACCCCACAUAUGCAUGCCUUUUUAAAAAGACUAAGAUAUUUCUUUUGAUUUUUUUUGUCACCAGGUCUUAUGUUAAAGUAAAAUCUAAAAUAAAAGCCAACAAAGAUUUGGUGAAGGUGAUAAAUCCAACUUUCAUGAAGUAUGUCCAUGAGGUCUGGUUGAAGAAGAAAGGAUCAUAUCCAUCCACUGGCUUUAUGGCUUUGGUUCUUGCUCUUCACAUUUGUGAUGACGUCCACGUUUUUGGGUAUGGAGCGGACAGCAAUGGAAACUGGAGCCACUACUGGGAAACACUUAAAGACAAAAAGUUAAAAACUGGACUGCAUCCUGGACAACAUGAGUAUGCACUUAUCCAGCACCUGGCUAACGGACGAAAGCUAAAGCUGUACAAAGGCCUUUAACUUCUCUCAGAACUUGAAGAAAACUUGCCUUGGUCACUUGAGACCAUUUUUUUUUUUUCCUUUUUUUUUUCUCUUGAAGAGUUUUUGCGGCGCUAGUGGCUCGUAUUUUUUUGACAGUAGGCAGACAGGA
Xiphophorus hellerii (green swordtail) is the source of this 668-nucleotide long non-coding RNA. RefSeq lists it as uncharacterized. The record is from RefSeq and is a predicted model, not a curated record. The transcript is spliced from 3 exons. Lineage: Eukaryota; Metazoa; Chordata; Actinopteri; Cyprinodontiformes; Poeciliidae.